RNAcentral lists this ribosomal RNA (418 nucleotides) under Bacillus sp. Lgg20.1. Its description in RNAcentral is "bacterial SSU rRNA". It matches the Rfam family "Bacterial small subunit ribosomal RNA", at positions 43 to 451 of the family's 1533-position model. The record is from RNAcentral. Lineage: Bacteria; Bacillati; Bacillota; Bacilli; Caryophanales; Bacillaceae.
CAGGCCUAACACAUGCAAGUCGAGCGAACAGAAGGGAGCUUGCUCCCGGAUGUUAGCGGCGGACGGGUGAGUAACACGUGGGUAACCUGCCUGUAAGACUGGGAUAACUCCGGGAAACCGGAGCUAAUACCGGAUAGUUCCUUGAACCGCAUGGUUCAAGGAUGAAAGACGGUUUCGGCUGUCACUUACAGAUGGACCCGCGGCGCAUUAGCUAGUUGGUGGGGUAAUGGCUCACCAAGGCGACGAUGCGUAGCCGACCUGAGAGGGUGAUCGGCCACACUGGGACUGAGACACGGCCCAGACUCCUACGGGAGGCAGCAGUAGGGAAUCUUCCGCAAUGGACGAAAGUCUGACGGAGCAACGCCGCGUGAGUGAUGAAGGUUUUCGGAUCGUAAAGCUCUGUUGUUAGGGAAGAACA